RNAcentral lists this long non-coding RNA (1256 nucleotides) under Gallus gallus (chicken). Lineage: Eukaryota; Metazoa; Chordata; Aves; Galliformes; Phasianidae. The record is from RNAcentral.
CCCAGUGCGUUAAAAAUGGUACAACUGAACAGAAAGUUUACCAAUGCACAGCUCAGUAUUUUUAAAACAAACAAAAAAGAUUCUUUAGUUAUUUGAAGUGUAAUAUGUACUUGAAAGCAAUUUUCGGAAAUUCAGGUAUUUUUUAAUGCAAAUAUUUUAAUAACUUUUUGUUCUGAAAACAACUGCAUAUUGUUGAUGUUAAAAAAAGGCUAACAGAGAACAUAUGUUCAUUUCAUGCCCUGCGCCAUCUUGCCUACUAUUUGUCUUUGGCCUAACAAGUUUCUCUAACGUGGAAUAGGAAUUACUGAAACAGUACAGGAAAUAUGACUUCAGACUUAUGCAGUUUAGGGUACCCCAUUCACCAGCGGCUGUUGACCAUCUGCGUUGUCCGCUUUCUCUUUCUUCUGAUUACGUUCUUUACCUGUGCGCAGCCGGCUGCCUUCGCUGGAGGUAUUCAGUAGAGAUCCAUCUGCUGUUCUCCCUUUUGCAUCUCUUGAAUUACGCUGACGGUUAUCUGUUCGUGACUGCUCAUCAUUUCCUUUGAAUCCUCCACGACCCCUCCCUCCUUGCCCUCUUGCACCACCUCCACGUCUUCGCCCAUCUCCCCUGCGAAGGUAGUUGUCUCGUUCCUCUUCUGCUUGGGCUAAUGACCAAUCGCUAAGUUCAUCUCUGUGAUCAGAUUCCGUUUCAGAAGCAUUUGAUGCUUCAGAAUUAGUUCCCGAAGCGUAGCCUGGACCACGUCUGCUAUGCCCUCUGUUUCUGUAAGGUCGACUACCCCUUCCGAGUCCCGGACCAUCAUCAGUCAUAUAUCCUUUUUCUUUAUCUGUACGAUUUGGUGGUGGUCUAGAAGUAGCUCCAAUCUGUCGAAGCUGCUCAUCAAUUUGCAAUCUUUCCAAACGUAGUUGGUCCACCUCCUUUAAAUAAUUAAGAUGAUAAUCCAGAAGAACAGUUGCAUUAGUGAUGCUAUCCUUGGUUCCCACAAAUACAAAUGGUACCAUUCCCUCUUCUUGUGGAAUAUUUUUAUCAUUUUCAGCCUCAAUUCUCACUCUUACAACACCAGAUUUGUCCACUAUCUCCUGAAUCAGUUUUCCAUUUUUUCCAAUUACCUUCCCUACUAAAUUUCUUGGGACUUGUAUGACAUCUUCAGCAAACUCAAGGUAACUUCUUGCCUUUUUCACUGCAUCUUGAUCCUCUCCAUAAAUAUGGAAUGUGCAGGUAUCUUCAUCAAGAUCAAUGGCAGUCACUCCAGGGACUUU